RNAcentral lists this ribosomal RNA (425 nucleotides) under uncultured bacterium. Its description in RNAcentral is "partial 16S ribosomal RNA". It matches the Rfam family "Bacterial small subunit ribosomal RNA", at positions 354 to 796 of the family's 1533-position model. The record is from RNAcentral.
GUUAGGAAUAUUGGACAAUGGGCGAAAGCCUGAUCCAGCCAUGCCGCGUGAACGAUGAAGGCCUUCGGGUUGUAAAGUUCUUUAGCCGAUGAUUAUAAUGACUGUAGUCGGAAAAUAAGCCCCGGCUAACUUCGUGCCAGCAGCCGCGGUAAUACGAAGGGGGCGAGCGUUAUUCGGAAUCACUGGGCGUAAAGCGUGCGUAGGCGGGUUUGUAAGUUAGGAGUGAAAGCCCAGGGCUCAACCUUGGAAUUGCUCUUAAAACUGCAAGGCUCGAAUCUCGGAGAGGAUAGCGGAAUUUCCAGUGUAGCAGUGAAAUGCGUAGAUAUUGGAAGGAACACCAGUGGCGUAAGCGGCUAUCUGGACGAGUAUUGACGCUGAGGCACGAAAGCGUGGGGAUCAAACAGGAUUAGAAACCCCUGUAGUCC